This 73-nucleotide transfer RNA is filed under the name Gregarina niphandrodes. It matches the Rfam family "tRNA". Rfam says of the family: Transfer RNA (tRNA) molecules are approximately 80 nucleotides in length. Their secondary structure includes four short double-helical elements and three loops (D, anti-codon, and T loops). The record is from Rfam by way of RNAcentral. Lineage: Eukaryota; Apicomplexa; Conoidasida; Eugregarinorida; Gregarinidae.
GGUCUCGUAGCUCAGUCGGCAGAGAGUGUGGCUGUUCACAACAAAGUCGCGAGUUCGAUCCCUGCCGGAACCG